AAAAGAUCUUGGACCACCCUGGGUCUCAGUAAGAAGCACUUGAAAUACUGGUUCUUAUUACUGUUAUUGCCUUGUGCCUUUAAGUUGCUUCCGAUGUAUGGCCACCUUGUGAACUAGUGGCUUCCAAAAGGUCUACUCAUGAACAGCUCAGCUCUCCCAAACCCACAGCCCCGAGUUCCUUAAAGGAGCCAAUCCAUCUCAGAUUCGGUCUUCCUCAUUUCUUUCUUCCCCAAGCUGUUAGGGUUGAACUUUUUGAGUCCAUCUUUGGCCUUCGCGCGUUGGCGAGCGUGCCCGACUCUCUCUGAGCCAAGAGAUGCCAGCUGUGCUCGGGAAAAGCCCUUAGGUGUCCCCCCCCACACACUUUUCAGGAUCGUGGAGCCUGCAUGGCCAUUAUUGGGAUCCUGGGAUCGGUAGCCUCAUAAAAGUAACUUCCCCCAAACUUUGCGGGUCCGUUCUCUCCUGGCAACUCCUCCCCUGAAGGAUCUUUUAGCUGCUGCUUCUUUUUAACCCUUUGGCUGCCUUUUGCCUCUGCGGGAGUUUCAAGCGUUGAAAAGAGGUGCUUGGGAAAUCGGAUACCAAGGAUGGCUCCAGAGAAGCUCCACGUUCAUAUUCCCGGCCAGGUUUUCAGAAGAGGCGCCGGCAAAGGCGAUCCGUUCCCGGCUGGAGGGCCAGCCCUUCCCCUGCCCCGCUUCUCCGCCCCCUCUCCAUUCUUUGAUUCAUCCGGCGACUAACCCCCGGAUCCAAGACGCGAUAGAUCUUCUAUUUUUUGUUUUGUGUUGUUUUCCCCCUCCCCAGCUUCAUCGGCACCUUAUCUUUAGCUGUGACUUGAGAUGCUGGUGAGACCGCCCUACUGGACUUGCUCUUGCUGGCUAGGAGUUUGUUUCUGGCUUCUGACAGGCGAAGGAGGAUGUGUUAGCGCUCAGCUCUGCAGAAGCCCCCUGUGCAGCAGGAACAGCAACAAUGAGCAUCCGCCCAGCAAACAGCAGUGCCAGGGGCCUCACUGCUCAGGCAGGGUUGGGCAUACAUCCCGUGCCUUUCUUCACCCCGCCAGCCCUGUGCAAGGGCAGACACAGAGCAAGCAGCCGCCACCACCUCUCUUUUCCCUCCAGCAAGAGCAGAGGCAGCGGCAGCAGCAACCCUUUGUGGGUGGAAGACUUGAACACAGCUCUCUGUCCACAAGGCACACAGCAGAGAGUUGCUUUGGAGGAGGAGGAGGAGGAGACUGUGCCAUUAGGGCUCCCAAUGGUACCCUACGGAACUGCAAAGGCAUCGAGUGUCGGUUGCCCCCACGUCUUCGCCAGAAGCCGAGGCUAGCUAUCCAGGCUGUCCCUUGCCCCCCAAACCAGGAGGGAAGCUGUCCCGAGCCCUCUCUGGUCAGAGAAACUGAGAGGGCAGCCCAGUUUGUUGGAGAAGAUCUUGCCUACACAGCUUCUGAACUUGGGAGUGCCACUCUGGGCGUCCAGCUGACUUGCGAUGUUAAGCCAGGGGAAAAUGAAGUCCCAUCUGAAGAUGCCCUUGUACUCCAGCUUCAGCUCAUGAAAGGACAAGAGAAGUUUGUUGAAGCUCUCAAAAGCCAGCAGACCUUAAUCAUGGAUUUACAGCAAAAGUUGGCAGAGCAACAGAAUACGUUGGUUACCCAGCAGCGAGAAAUUAUUGAGCAACAGAGGAAAAUGUAUGAGCAGAUGGAUCUGAUAAAAGUCCAGUAUGGCAUGCUUUUUGACACUGUGAAGCAGAUGUCAUUGAAGGGUUUGCAAGAGGAUCUCCAGCACUAUUUUGAAGGCAAUCUACAAGGCCUUCGGAACCAACUCAGGAGCCACCUUCACAAGUCCUACUCUGGCCAUAAAAUUGAGUUUGAUGCCAAAGUGAUUGGGGAGCCUCUGAUGGGCUGUGGCCUUUGUGAAAGUGGUGAAUUUUGCAAUUUCCAGAAGACACCCUCUCGGUGUGAAAGAUGCACUUUGUGCCCUGCCGGCUUUUUCCAGCUGUCUGAAUGUUCUGCAAAUGCCGAUCGGAUCUGCCAGGAUAGAGAUGAAUGCGUUGAGUCACCAAGCAUCUGUGGGGAAAGAAUAAAAUGCCUAAACACUCCAGGAGGUUUCCGAUGCCUGGGUGUUGCUGAAAAAGAGGCUGCAUUGGGAUUGUGUGGAGAGGAAUAUUUCUUCAACAAAGAGGUGCUGGAGUGCCAAGCUUGCCUGACGUGUGAAGACGGGGUAGUUGCUUUCCCCUGUACUCUUGUUAGUGAUACCAUUUGUUCAACUGCCAGUGAAAACAAGCUUUCGGAGUCAUGGGCGGCGCACCUUGUUUUCCCUUUGGCAACGUCUAGCGCUUCUCAAGUUUAUCCAGGCUUUGACUUGACGAUAAAGGGAGAAGAGAAGUGCAAUAUAGUGACGGUGGAGGGCAACAGGGUGCUGUUCAAACAGCACGGCUUAAUGUGGGCUGACUUCAAUUUUGCGGUGAAACACAACUGUAGGAAUUUCCUCCACCUUUCUUUGAAAUUCAACAACAGUGAAGAAGACUACGAGUUGAGCGGAGUUCGUGUUGAACAGCCAGAAGGCAAAAUUUUGCAGAGCGUAACUCUGAGUAGCGCUACGGAGGUAGAACCAGGCCAUGUUCUUUCUGUUUUUUUGAAAAGCCCUAAUCAAUUCUGCAACCAAAGCAAAGACUUAAACGUUUAUGACCUCCAUGCACCUCUCAGUUUGUUUUGGUUGUCCCAUGACACCGGGGCAGUGGCGAUGACAGCCCAAACAUCAACUGCUGUGCACUACCAAACUAACUAUCGGCCAGCCUUUAAAUUGGUUUCUCUUUCCGACCCUUACAUGCUGGCUUUGUCCCACGAUGGCAGAGCCAUCAGGUUUACUGAAACGGGUGUUGUGAAGUUUGUUUUCCACCAAGCAUUAUACUCCAUGGGUCAUACCUGCAUUCGCGAAGGGUUUUCCCUGGCGUCUUACCUCAACAGAAAUGGCACCAAUACAGAACUAAUGACUGUGCAUAAGUCUGGUGUCAAUUACAGAGACACAACAAUAUCUGCCUCUGGGGCCACCAGAGUUGAAGCUGGGGAUCUGCUCAGCUUUGAAAUCCUGUCCCCAGCACAAUGCAGUGUUCGUUAUUUUGGAGACAGUUCUGGGAUUAGCAUGCUUAGCCUCAUCUGGAUCCCAUCCGCGGUUUCCACCGAACUUUCAGCCUUGGUCUCCAUAAGGGGGCUGCCAACAGGUGCUGUUAGAAACAGAUUAUUGGAUUUUACUCAGGUCUCACCAAGUGAAGAACAAAUCCAUCUCAUUUCUGCUGGACAAUAUGCUCACAAAUAUUUUGUAUUCAACGAAAGGGGAGUUGCUAGUGUUGCAUUUACCUUAAAGUUGAUUCAUUCCUGUAAUAUGCUCCAAGUGACUCUGAAUCAGCUUAUCAGUGAUCGUGGACAACCUAAAGCAGUUGCACAGCAGGUUGGUGGUCAAAUGCCAGAAGGAGCCAUUUGGACCAGUGUUAGCCUGCGUUCUUCUUUCAAAGUUCAUAAUGGUACGAUGAUUUCUAUUUCUCUCAACUGUGUACGUGGUAGGGUCAACCACAUUGCUCAUGAACGUGGAACUAGCUUAUCCAUCUUAUGGAUUUCUUCAUAGCUAUCCUGGAACAAAACAAAAUGUAACCAAAGAAACAGAGGAAAUGAGUAAAGAUGAUAUCUAGCAUCCAUUAGUAUUUUACUUUUCUCACUUUGCAUUGGAGUGGUGCAGAAAUUACCACCGAGAAAACAGACAAAGCUGAACAAAAGGGUAUGAUGGUUAUAUAAAAUGGAAGUUGACAUAUUCAUGACUAAUUGCCCUAAGAUGGAGUCAACUCAUUGAUUUUCAGUAGGAUUUUGUUCUCUAAUGGUGAUGUUGGCACUGAGGAUGAUGGGAGUUCUGAUCCAACACACCUGGCAGACAUGAGGUCAGGGUUGACUGGUCUGGUUUUUCAAGGAGAAUAGAGUUUUCACUUUUUACGAGAGGACAAUAUUCUAGAUGUCAGUCCUGACAAAAGAUUCAAAGCAUACUUUUGGAUUUAAAAAAUAGAUUCAAGAAAGAAAAAAAGGAACCUUUUAAGAUCCUGGUAGUUUUAAGCUGAGUCUGCUUGUCAAGGCCAGUAUGAAUGGUGGGAGGACAACUUGUUCAGGUCUGAAGAGGUUGCCAUGGAAAACCUUUGCCUGGAGGUCUGGUAAUAAUGACCUUCAACCCCAAAAGGACAGAGUAGUAAUGAAAAUAUUUGUUCAUGGAUAUUUGUACUUCCAAAAGCAAAAGUUAGAAGUCUAAUCCUAUUAAAACAAACUGGUAUUCAGUGGUAGACCCAACCAUUAAAAACAUCAAAGGAACUUUAAAGUACUUAACCAAAAUCGUGCCUUAUAAUUUCAGUACAUACAGUAUUGCAUCAACCUCACUUCUGUAAUUCCUUCAAAAUACUAUAUAUUUAUCACCUUUGUAAAGAAUAUUUAUUGGGAAAAGAUAGCCUCAUAAGGUGAGGUUCAAACAAUUGUGUGCAAAGUUUCUAAGCUCCCACCUGACCCCCUGAAAUAAUUCCUCUUUAAAAGCAGAUUAUAUGAAACAGAAGUUUUCCUGUUUUUUCCAGAAGAGAUUUAGUUUAUAUAAUCAGUUGCUAUUUUAUAAAAGGCUAAAUAUUAAUCUUCAAUGUGUUCUAAACAUCUGUUAUUUUUCAACAGAAAUUGUCUGGAGAUAUUUCAUUCUAUCAAAUUCUGUGUAUUUUCAAAUGUGUACAGAGAUGGGAAAGAAAGUAAGACUCUAGGGCUAAAUUCAUUUACCUGGAAUUAUUUCUCGCUGAACUCAGUGGGGCUUUCUUCACUCCAGCAUGAAUAGAACUCCAGUGUAUAGGCAUUUAUAGGAUUAUACUGUAAGUAUGUUCACUUAAAUUACACAAAUUGUUGUUGAUGUUGUGGCUUCUGCUGGUGUUUAUGCAGAAUACAAUGCAUUAUGAAAACUAUAUUAGUUUAUACUAUUUUUUAUCUCUAAAUAUCAUUGUACUCUUUCUAAUGUGCACUGCAUCAGGACAGUUGAACAUAAAUAAAAAUAUUUAAUUUACCUGCCA
Molecule: long non-coding RNA, 5058 nt
Filed under: Pogona vitticeps (central bearded dragon)
Lineage: Eukaryota; Metazoa; Chordata; Lepidosauria; Squamata; Agamidae
Description: lncRNA (ENSPVIG00000023558.1)
Source: RNAcentral